Long non-coding RNA from Hibiscus syriacus, 815 nucleotides. RefSeq lists it as uncharacterized. The record is from RefSeq and is a predicted model, not a curated record. Lineage: Eukaryota; Viridiplantae; Streptophyta; Magnoliopsida; Malvales; Malvaceae. The transcript is spliced from 3 exons.
CUCUGCCGCUCAACCCCUCUCUAUUCUCUCCCUAUCUUCUUUUUCACGCUCAUAAAACAAAAGGGAAAAGAGAGACCUUUUCCCAAACAGCCCCAAUCGCUCAACCAUCGAACCUACGCCGGAAGCUGCCAUCUAAACCAGAGUAUCCAAGGCCGCCACCUACAGCGUAGAUAACUCUAAAAGGCCCCCAUGGUCGACCACAGUUUAACCAGUGACCCUCUCAAACAAAGCUCCCUCAUCUUCUACCUAUCUCACAACCGAGAACCACAAAGCUUCAACAUCACUGCCUAAACGACCACCAAUCGGAAAAUACAAGCCUCAACCCACGAUCUGACCACCUAUCCUUCAAUCGACGCUGCCAAGGUCUUCCUCCGACGAAGACUCCGUCGUUGAUACACAUGAACAAGGAAACAGAUUGGUGCUGUUGAUUUCGAAAAGAAAUACGAGAGCUCUCCCUUUACUCAUCACCCCGUUACAUUCCCCUCCUUGUUACUGUUUUUAAUGACCGAGCCCAAUGACACAUGCAAGCCCUCCAAGAGAUCCCCAACGCUAAUGACUACGAUAUGGAGUCGACGAGGCUCCCUCGGCGCGCGUAUCUCCUAAGGUCUUGGUUGGCACAAGUUGGGUCAGCAUAGACGCUCGUGGGUGGCAUGGGUGACUGUGGUGAAGUUGCUGCUAUCGGGUCGGGUCUUGUAACCGGGUCUGGAUCCGGGUCUUGUAACCUGUAACAAAAACAAUUAUAUUAAUAAUAAUAAUAUAUAAUAAUAAUAAUAAUAAUAAUAAUAUUAAUAAUAUUUAGGACGAAAAAACGAGUG